UAAUACGUAGGGGGCGAGCGUUGUCCGGAAUCAUUGGGCGUAAAGCGCGUGUAGGCGGUUUCGUAAGUCUGCUGUGAAAGUCGGAGGCUCAACCUUCGAAUGCCAGUGGAUACUGCGAGACUUGAGUCCGGAAGAGGAGAGUGGAAUUCCUGGUGUAGCGGUGAAAUGCGCAGAUAUCAGGAGGAACACCAACGGCGAAGGCAGCUCUCUGGGACGGUACUGACGCUGAGACGCGAAAGCGUGGGGAGCAAACAGGAUUAGAUACCCUGGUAGUCCACGCCGUAAACGAUGGUCACUAGAUGUGGGGGGUGUCGACUCCCUCCGUGUCGUAGCUAACGCGUUAAGUGACCCGCCUGGGGAGUACGGCCGCAAGGCUAAAACUCAAAGGAAUUGACGG
This 397-nucleotide ribosomal RNA is filed under the name uncultured bacterium. RNAcentral describes it as "bacterial SSU rRNA". It matches the Rfam family "Bacterial small subunit ribosomal RNA", at positions 521 to 916 of the family's 1533-position model. The record is from RNAcentral.